GACGAACGCUGGCGGCGUGCCUAAUACAUGCAAGUUGAGCGAUGAAGAUUGGUGCUUGCACCAAUUUGAAGAGCAGCGAACGGGUGAGUAACGCGUGGGGAAUCUGCCUUUGAGCGGGGGACAACAUUUGGAAACGAAUGCUAAUACCGCAUAACAACUUUAAACAUAAGUUUUAAGGUUGAAAGAUGCAAUUGCAUCACUCAAAGAUGAUCCCGCGUUGUAUUAGCUAGUUGGUGAGGUAAAGGCUCACCAAGGCGAUGUUACAUAGCAGACCUGAGAGGGUGGUCAGCCACCUUGGGACUGAGACACGGCACAUACUCCUACGGGAGGCAGCAGUAGGGAAUCGUCGGCAAUGGACGAAAGUCUGACCGCGCAACGCCGAGUGAGUGAAGAACGUUGUCGGAUCGUAAAACUCGGUUGGUAGAGAAGAACGUUGGUGAGCGUGGAACGCUCAUCAAGUGACGGUAACUACUCAGAAAGCGACGGCUAACUACGUG
RNAcentral lists this ribosomal RNA (497 nucleotides) under uncultured bacterium. Its description in RNAcentral is "partial 16S ribosomal RNA". It matches the Rfam family "Bacterial small subunit ribosomal RNA", at positions 28 to 507 of the family's 1533-position model. The record is from RNAcentral.